GACGAACGCUGGCGGCGUGCUUAACACAUGCAAGUCGAGCGAUGAAACUACUUCGGUAGUGAAUUAGCGGCGAACGGGUGAGGAACACGUGAGGAAUCUGCCUUCAACACUGGGAUAACUCCGGGAAACCGGGGCUAAUACCGGAUAUGAGCUCUGAUCGCAUGGUCGGGGCUGUAAAGUUUUUCGGUUGAAGAUGACCUCGCGGCCUAUCAGCUUGUUGGUGAGGUAAUGGCUCACCAAGGCGACGACGGGUAGCCGGCCUGAGAGGGUGACCGGCCACACUGGAACUGAGAUACGGUCCAGACUCCUACGGGAGGCAGCAGUGGGGAAUAUUGCACAAUGGGCGCAAGCCUGAUGCAGCAACGCCGCGUGAGGGAU
RNAcentral lists this ribosomal RNA (378 nucleotides) under uncultured Actinomycetales bacterium. RNAcentral describes it as "bacterial SSU rRNA". It matches the Rfam family "Bacterial small subunit ribosomal RNA", at positions 28 to 409 of the family's 1533-position model. Lineage: Bacteria; Bacillati; Actinomycetota; Actinomycetes; Actinomycetales. The record is from RNAcentral.